GCUGGGUGAUGAAUGAUGAUCACCUGGUAAGUUUUCAUUGAGCCGUACUUACGGCACUGAUGAGACACGUCAUCGUGUCUGGACUUCUGACAGC
Molecule: small nucleolar RNA, 94 nt
Filed under: Chlamydomonas reinhardtii
Lineage: Eukaryota; Viridiplantae; Chlorophyta; Chlorophyceae; Chlamydomonadales; Chlamydomonadaceae
Description: CrCD23c snoRNA
Source: RNAcentral